AACGAACGCUGGCGGCAUGCCUAACACAUGCAAGUCGAACGAGACCUUCGGGUCUAGUGGCGCACGGGUGCGUAACGCGUGGGAACCUGCCCUUAGGUUCGGAAUAACUCCCCGAAAGGGGUGCUAAUACCGGAUAAUGUCUUCGGACCAAAGAUUUAUCGCCUUUGGAUGGGCCCGCGUUGGAUUAGCUAGUUGGUAGGGUAAACGCCUACCAAGGCGACGAUCCAUAGCUGGUCUGAGAGGAUGAUCAGCCACACUGGGACUGAGACACGGCCCAGACUCCUACGGAAGGCAGCAGUGGGGAAUAUUGGACAAUGGGCGAAAGCCUGAUCCAGCAAUGCCGCGUGAGUGAUGAAGGCCUUAGGGUUGUAAAGCUCUUUAACCCGGGAUGAUAAUGACAGUACCGGGAGAAUAAGCUCCGGCUAACUCCGUG
This 433-nucleotide ribosomal RNA is filed under the name uncultured bacterium. Its description in RNAcentral is "partial 16S ribosomal RNA". It matches the Rfam family "Bacterial small subunit ribosomal RNA", at positions 29 to 507 of the family's 1533-position model. The record is from RNAcentral.